RNAcentral lists this ribosomal RNA (490 nucleotides) under Staphylococcus aureus. Its description in RNAcentral is "bacterial SSU rRNA". It matches the Rfam family "Bacterial small subunit ribosomal RNA", at positions 939 to 1426 of the family's 1533-position model. Lineage: Bacteria; Bacillati; Bacillota; Bacilli; Caryophanales; Staphylococcaceae. The record is from RNAcentral.
AUGUGGUUUAAUUUGAAGCAACGCGAAGAACCUUACCAAAUCUUGACAUCCUCCUGACAACUCUAGAGAUAGAGCCUUCCCCUUCGGGGGAGCAAAGUGACAGGUGGUGCAUGGUUGUCGUCAGCUCGUGUCGUGAGAUGUUGGGUUAAGUCCCGCAACGAGCGCAACCCUUAAGCUUAGUUGCCAUCAUUAAGUUGGGCACUCUAAGUUGACUGCCGGUGACAAACCGGAGGAAGGUGGGGAUGACGUCAAAUCAUCAUGCCCCUUAUGAUUUGGGCUACACACGUGCUACAAUGGACAAUACAAAGGGCAGCGAAACCGCGAGGUCAAGCAAAUCCCAUAAAGUUGUUCUCAGUUCGGAUUGUAGUCUGCAACUCGCCUACAUGAAGCUGGAAUCGCUAGUAAUCGUAGAUCAGCAUGCUACGGUGAAUACGUUCCCGGGCCUUGUACACACCGCCCGUCACACCACGAGAGUUUGUAACACCCGAAG